ACCAGACUCCUACGGGAGGCAGCAGUGGGGAAUAUUGCACAAUGGGGGAAACCCUGAUGCAGCGACGCCGCGUGAGUGAAGAAGUAUUUCGGUAUGUAAAGCUCUAUCAGCAGGGAAGAAAAUGACGGUACCUGACUAAGAAGCCCCGGCUAACUACGUGCCAGCAGCCGCGGUAAUACGUAGGGGGCAAGCGUUAUCCGGAUUUACUGGGUGUAAAGGGAGCGUAGACGGCAGCGCAAGUCUGAAGUGAAAUCCCAUGGCUUAACCAUGGAACUGCUUUGGAAACUGUGCAGCUGGAGUGCAGGAGAGGUAAGCGGAAUUCCUAGUGUAGCGGUGAAAUGCGUAGAUAUUAGGAGGAACACCAGUGGCGAAGGCGGCUUACUGGACUGUAACUGACGUUGAGGCUCGAAAGCGUGGGGAGCAAACAGGAUUAGAUACCCUAGUA
This 445-nucleotide ribosomal RNA is filed under the name uncultured bacterium. RNAcentral's name for it is "bacterial SSU rRNA". It matches the Rfam family "Bacterial small subunit ribosomal RNA", at positions 330 to 792 of the family's 1533-position model. The record is from RNAcentral.